Long non-coding RNA from Pyrus x bretschneideri (Chinese white pear), 658 nucleotides. RefSeq lists it as uncharacterized. Lineage: Eukaryota; Viridiplantae; Streptophyta; Magnoliopsida; Rosales; Rosaceae. The transcript has 3 exons. The record is from RefSeq and is a predicted model, not a curated record.
UGGUGCUCGAUAUUACUUAACCAUAUUUAAUAGUUAUAAGGUUGGUUCUGUGUCAAGUGUAGUACCAUGGAUAUUCACAGUUGCAGCUAGUACCACAUAUCGCCGGAUUGACAGCAUUGUUCUUGCAAACGGAAAGAAACUAGUCGGGCACUCUACGAACACGUUCACAUUAAAUGGAACAAAUUUCCUCUCAUAUAUGGAAAAGAUGCUUCAAGAACAAAUUGCUCUCAAAUGCUAGCUAGGGUCCCUCAAGCGACGAUAUUACAAAGUGAAGUCAUAAAAGAUGUUGCUGCGCCUCUUGUUUCUAUCACGUCUGCGACUGGACCGAAUUUAGUUGACUAUGUUAUGAAUUUGAUGAUUCUUCAUCUCCUAGACUGUUGUAUUUAUUUGACUAUGUAGUUCCAGGGUGAGCAGAUGAAGGCCCACGGCGAAGGGAUGAGGACCUAUACGGGGACAGUGAGAGACCUUGUACGAGUCAUGUCCAACCUCCAAAUCUCGCUACUAGCACUUAAUCUUGCUCCACCAUCGACCUCAGAGCCACCUCACCUUGCCGAUACUCAGUAGCUUGAUGUAUUAAACCUAGAAGACUACUUGUAGUUUUUUCUUUUUUGUUCGAACAUCUUGUAUGUACAUUUUAUAUAUUUUAUAAUUAAAUACU